This 241-nucleotide ribosomal RNA is filed under the name uncultured bacterium. Its description in RNAcentral is "partial 16S ribosomal RNA". It matches the Rfam family "Bacterial small subunit ribosomal RNA", at positions 15 to 244 of the family's 1533-position model. The record is from RNAcentral.
GAUCCUGGCUCAGGACGAACGCUGGCGGCGUGCCUAAUACAUGCAAGUCGAACGAGAGCGACCGGUGCUUGCACUGGUCAAUCUAGUGGCGAACGGGUGAGUAACACGUGGGUAACCUGCCCAUCAGAGGGGGAUAACAUUCGGAAACGGAUGCUAAAACCGCAUAGGUUCUUUAGUCGCAUGACUGGAGAAGGAAAAGAGGCUUCGGCUUCUGCUGAUGGAUGGACCCGCGGUGCAUUAG